Molecule: non-coding RNA, 204 nt
Organism: Cinara cedri
Lineage: Eukaryota; Metazoa; Arthropoda; Insecta; Hemiptera; Aphididae
Source: the annotation of a GenBank genome assembly
UAUGUCACCCGUUACGCAAGAAUAUAAGUUCAUUCAGUGAAAAAAAAUAAAAAUAAAUAAUAAUAAAAAUAUCUAUAUGCAAAUGCGCGAUUCUAAUAACGUGUUCGAAUCGAGGUUCAUUUUAUAUUCAAGUCGUAUCGCAGAAAUAAGGUAUGCGUUUCGAAAUAUUCAAACGGCCUGAACUAGGUUUAAACCGACCGAAUA